Molecule: ribosomal RNA, 484 nt
Filed under: uncultured bacterium
Lineage: Bacteria
Description: partial 16S ribosomal RNA
Rfam family: Bacterial small subunit ribosomal RNA
Source: RNAcentral
AUUGAACGCUGGCGGCAUGCUUUACACAUGCAAGUCGAACGGCAGCGCGGGCUUCGGCCUGGGGGCGAGUGGCGAACGGGUGAGUAAUGCAUCGGAACGUGCCCAGUAGUGGGGGAUAGCCCCGCGAAAGCCGGGUUAAUACCGCAUACGACCUGAGGGUGAAAGCGGGGGAGCGAAAGACCUCGCGCUAUUGGAGCGGCCGAUGUCGGGUUAGCUAGUUGGUGGGGUAAAGGCUUACCAAGGCGACGAUCCGUAGCUGGUCUGAGAGGACGAGCAGCCACACUGGGACUGAGACACGGCCCAGACUCCUACGGGAGGCAGCAGUGGGGAAUUUUGGACAAUGGGGGCAACCCUGAUCCAGCCAUGCCGCGUGCGGGAAGAAGGCCUUCGGGUUGUAAACCGCUUUUGUUCGGGAAGAAAUCCUCUGGGCUAAUACCCCGGGGGGAUGACGGUACCGGAAGAAUAAGCACCGGCUAACUACGUG